RNAcentral lists this transfer RNA (73 nucleotides) under Planctomycetes bacterium HGW-Planctomycetes-1. RNAcentral's name for it is "tRNA-Lys". It matches the Rfam family "tRNA". Rfam says of the family: Transfer RNA (tRNA) molecules are approximately 80 nucleotides in length. Their secondary structure includes four short double-helical elements and three loops (D, anti-codon, and T loops). The record is from RNAcentral. RNAcentral also lists the same sequence under 1 other name. Lineage: Bacteria; Pseudomonadati; Planctomycetota.
GGGCGAUUAGCUCAGUUGGUAGAGCAGCUGAUUCUUAAUCAGCGGGUCACAGGUUCAAGUCCUGUAUCGCCCA